UACACAUUAUUUACUACUAUU
RNAcentral lists this microRNA (21 nucleotides) under Apis mellifera (honey bee). Its description in RNAcentral is "ame-miR-3767 (Mir3767)". Lineage: Eukaryota; Metazoa; Arthropoda; Insecta; Hymenoptera; Apidae. The record is from RNAcentral.